RNAcentral lists this ribosomal RNA (253 nucleotides) under uncultured bacterium. RNAcentral describes it as "partial 16S ribosomal RNA". It matches the Rfam family "Bacterial small subunit ribosomal RNA", at positions 524 to 776 of the family's 1533-position model. The record is from RNAcentral.
UACGUAGGGGGCGAGCGUUGUCCGGAUUUAUUGGGCGUAAAGAGCUCGUAGGCGGUCUGUUGCGUCGGCUGUGAAAACCCGGGGCUCAACUCCGGGCCUGCAGCCGAUACGGGCAGACUAGAGUUCGGCAGGGGAGACUGGAAUUCCUGGUGUAGCGGUGAAAUGCGCAGAUAUCAGGAGGAACACCGGUGGCGAAGGCGGGUCUCUGGGCCGAUACUGACGCUGAGGAGCGAAAGCGUGGGGAGCGAACAGG